RNAcentral lists this long non-coding RNA (530 nucleotides) under Anas platyrhynchos (mallard). Its description in RNAcentral is "lncRNA (ENSAPLG00020008887.1)". The record is from RNAcentral. Lineage: Eukaryota; Metazoa; Chordata; Aves; Anseriformes; Anatidae.
CAGCGAUGGCGGGCGGGGAGCAGCGCGGGGAGCGGCCCGGCGGCCCGGCGCGGGUGGCGCUGCAGAAGGAGAUCGGGCUGGGCAGCGCCUGUGCCAUCAUCAUCGAAUUUUGGAAAGUGCCUGAGACUCGCUGUAGGAGCACCCAAACUGCUUCAUCUUAAGUGAUGUUAGCCAGCCACCUUAUUGAUGGUCUCAGCAGAAUAUAUAUGAGCCGAAAAGCCUCCUUACAUCACAGGUGCUUCCUCCUGUCAGGACUGUCAUAACACAUAAUGGAAAAUAUAAUCUGCAUGAUGCUAAUACAUCAAGAAAACCACCAAAUAAAUUUCCUUGGUUGCCACUACACCUGCCUGGCAUUGUUCUCAUUAACUAACAACGACGCAUCCAUCUACAGGAUCUACAGGAAGUGUACACUUGCAUAAAUACCACUUCCAAGGACAGCGCUCUGAGAUACCAAGAGCUAUAAUUGCACUGGAUGUGAUUUUUCCUCCUUGCCCUUCACAGAAAACUCUACUUACCAGCCUUCCUGCAUG